This 253-nucleotide unclassified non-coding RNA is filed under the name uncultured Halomonadaceae bacterium. RNAcentral describes it as "contains 16S-23S intergenic spacer region". It matches the Rfam family "Bacterial small subunit ribosomal RNA", at positions 524 to 776 of the family's 1533-position model. Lineage: Bacteria; Pseudomonadati; Pseudomonadota; Gammaproteobacteria; Oceanospirillales; Halomonadaceae. The record is from RNAcentral.
UACGGAGGGUGCAAGCGUUAAUCGGAAUUACUGGGCGUAAAGAGCGCGUAGGUGGCUUGAUAAGCCGGUUGUGAAAGCCCCGGGCUCAACCUGGGAACGGCAUCCGGAACUGUCAAGCUAGAGUGUAGGAGAGGAAGGUAGAAUUCCCGGUGUAGCGGUGAAAUGCGUAGAGAUCGGGAGGAAUACCAGUGGCGAAGGCGUCCUUCUGGACUGACACUGACACGGAUGUGCGAAAGCGUUGGUAGCAAACAGG